RNAcentral lists this ribosomal RNA (587 nucleotides) under uncultured bacterium. RNAcentral describes it as "bacterial SSU rRNA". It matches the Rfam family "Bacterial small subunit ribosomal RNA", at positions 338 to 916 of the family's 1533-position model. The record is from RNAcentral.
CCUACGGGAGGCAGCAGUAGGGAAUCUUCGGCAAUGGACGGAAGUCUGACCGAGCAACGCCGCGUGAGUGAAGAAGGUUUUCGGAUCGUAAAGCUCUGUUGUAAGAGAAGAACGAGUGUGAGAGUGGAAAGUUCACACUGUGACGGUAUCUUACCAGAAAGGGACGGCUAACUACGUGCCAGCAGCCGCGGUAAUACGUAGGUCCCGAGCGUUGUCCGGAUUUAUUGGGCGUAAAGCGAGCGCAGGCGGUUAGAUAAGUCUGAAGUUAAAGGCUGUGGCUUAACCAUAGUACGCUUUGGAAACUGUUUAACUUGAGUGCAAGAGGGGAGAGUGGAAUUCCAUGUGUAGCGGUGAAAUGCGUAGAUAUAUGGAGGAACACCGGUGGCGAAAGCGGCUCUCUGGUCUGUAACUGACGCUGAGGCUCGAAAGCGUGGGGAGCAAACAGAAUUAGAUACCCUGGUAGUCCACGCAGUAAACGAUGAGUGCUAGGUGUUAGACCCUUUCCGGGGUUUAGUGCCGCAGCUAACGCAUUAAGCACUCCGCCUGGGGAGUACGACCGCAAGGUUGAAACUCAAAGGAAUUGACGG